GCAUUGAAACACUGGUUCUCAUACCAUCACCUAGUUAAGCAAUGUUGAACCUGGUCAGUACAUAGAUGGGUAACCGCUUGGGAAUACCAGGUGCUGUAAG
Non-coding RNA from Acanthosepion pharaonis, 100 nucleotides. Lineage: Eukaryota; Metazoa; Mollusca; Cephalopoda; Sepiida; Sepiidae. The record is from the annotation of a GenBank genome assembly.